CGCCGCUUUUGGGGCGUAUUCAACUGCCUGUGCGCCGGCGCGUUCGGGGCCCUGGCCGCCGCCUCCGCCAAGCUGGCCUUCGGCAGCGAGUUCGCUCUCGGGGAAGACCUACACCUCCUACAUCCACCCUCUACCUCUCAUUUUAAGUCCCUUGUGCCUGAACAUUUCUCUCCACGUGACUCUUAAGGUGAGAAGCCUGUUGCCCAUCCCUUUACUCCGUAAUUAACGGGUAUUGUGACCAGAUGAGCUGUCUGCCCCACUACCAGGAAAAUUGGGAGUUUGGGAUACUGUAGGCAUAAGCAGAUACUGACAGAGACGUUCUGGUUGUUUUCCUGACGCUGAGAACUCCCAAACUUGCCUCCUGGCGUCUGCUAAGGUGUAUCUCUGCCUCUCCCGUCCCAUGUCGUAGACCAGCCUCUGCUUGCUAGAGGGGUUUCAUUGCAUCUGCAGCCCAGGGUUAGCCUCUGACCUGGACAGUGGUCACUGAUUAUUUAGGGUUAAGCCUAUUUAGGGCUAAUCCAGUAGGAGCUGCCAUGCUUGAGGUUAGUAUCCCAUUGGGUGUAGUUCAUAGGGUAGGUGGUCGAAAGUAAAAUGAAUAACCUUUUAUGGGCCGUGAAGUUUGUUGUCAUGAACCAGACCUUCAUAACCCUUUAUGUAAGCAGGUUGCCACUGGCCCAUAUGCUGCUUUGUGUAAGACAAGGUUGUCCAACUCGCGACCCAACACAAAUUUGUAAACUGAAAACAUGAAUUUUUUUGCGAUUUUAUUUGUACUGUUUUUAGCUCAUCAGCUAUCAUUAGUGCUAGUGUAUUAUAUGUGUGACCCAAUACAAUUCUUCCAGUGUGGCCCAGGGAAGCCAAAAGACUGGACACUCUGGUGUAAGUUAUAAGAAAGCACCUUUUUCUCAAGACACUAUGUGUUCCGCUGCUGAGAAACCACUACAAGUAAUAAGUAUGAUACUUAGAUUCCGCCCCCCGCACCCUCCCCUCCUCGCCUUGUCUCCAGGCCGGCUUCUAACUCACCACCAAGCAAGGGGGGCUGCAUAUGCUUUGUGUAGGAGGCUUCUAAAGAUCCUCUCUUUUCUUGAGACUUUCUCCUUUAAAAAAGAAAGAAAAUAUCUGCAAGUUCUCCAAGGAAUGUCUGGGAUCACUAAAUAGUCUGAGGUGGUGUUUCCCCCAGGCAGGACUGUGUCCUAGUUAACAGCAUGGAGGUACACUGCCUGAUUGUGAAGCCUGGUGGCUCUCAUCACUGUAGCACUUUAAGAAAGUUACUUAAUGCCCGUGGGUCUUUAUCUGUAAAAUGAAGUUAAGGAAUAAAUGAGAAUGCUUAAACUCUUAGCACAGGGCCUAACACAGAGUAAAAGCUCAAGAAUGCCCAGAGGGGGUGAGCCUUGCUGGGCUAUAACUUGUAUAGGAUUUGGGGGUGGGAAUACAGAGCAGACAUCGCUAAUUCGUGCUUUCCCUGAUCUCAAGAAGUAAGAACUCCAUCCCUGACUUAACUCAUACUACCUACGGAGUAAGAACUACUUGGCCCUCUGGGACUGAUCUUCAGGCACUGGUCAUUGUAAGACCAAUAAGGGGCUGGUGUCAGUAGAAAAUACUGACUUUGGAUUAGCAUUUUGCUUCUUCCCAAGAUCGUAUGGCCAGCAAGGUGGCCAAAUGAGUGUCUUCUCUGAAUUUGCUUUACUUGUAAGAUGGGUCUGCUGCCCACUGAGGGUUAAAUGAAGCCCUGUGCAGAAAAGCUCUGAGGCCCUCUGAGCUGUAGUGGGAGCUCAGUAGGAGCCUGGGUGCCAGCAGCCACAGCGCUGGCUGUGCUGUGAGGGGGUCUGCAGGUUGCUGUGCAGGGUGGAUGUGGCUGCAGUGACACUUUCUCCUGCAGGUGAGCAUGGGUUUAUGCAUCUUAGGCAUUAUUGUGAUGGCGAGCACCAAUUCUCUGAUGUGGACCUUCUUUAGCCGGGGCCUCAGUUUCUCCA
This is an RNA transcript of Cercocebus atys (sooty mangabey), 1970 nucleotides long. It is a transcript of the gene named transmembrane protein 42, with no coding region annotated. The record is from RefSeq and is a predicted model, not a curated record. The transcript has 2 exons. Lineage: Eukaryota; Metazoa; Chordata; Mammalia; Primates; Cercopithecidae.